GGACUACAAGGGUAUCUAAUCCUGUUUGCUCCCCACGCUCUCGCGCCUCAGCGUCAGUAUCUGUCCAGGUAGCCGCCUUCGCCACUGGUGUUCCUUCCGAUCUCUACGCAUUUCACCGCUACACCGGAAAUUCCACUACCCUCUACAGUACUCCAGUCACUCAGUCUUAGUUGCCAUUCCCAGGUUAAGCCCAGGUAUUUCACAACUAACUUACGCAACCACCUACGCGCCCUUUACGCCCAGUAACUCCGAUUAACGCUCGCACCCUCUGUAUUACCGCGGCGGCUGGCAC
RNAcentral lists this ribosomal RNA (292 nucleotides) under uncultured bacterium. RNAcentral's name for it is "partial 16S ribosomal RNA". The record is from RNAcentral.